UAGGACUUACUAUGUUAUGUUUAAAUUGGUGCUUACAUUAUAAAUUUUAGAGUGGGCAUCUCUACUGAAGAUCCAGAGGUGGUCAUUUUGAAUCCAAAAGAUAUUGCAAAACACUACAUCAAAACCUGGUUUCUGGCUGACCUAGCUGCAGCUUUUCCUCUGGAUUCUAUAUUGUUUUUUAAGGAACCUGUUGUGAAUCCAUCUGCUCUCCAAGUGCAGCAGUGUUUCAGAGAAGAUGCCUGCUUAGCCAUUUGUGGCCUGUAGACUUAGAGUGAAGAGUGUUGAAAUAAAGUAUGCACGUUGUUUGAGCACGUGAUGUCUUGUAUGUAUAAUUUAUAUAUUUUGGAGUGGAUUUCAUGAGAUUGCAAGAAUCCACUUAUCACUCAUAGAUUGCAAGUUUUUUCAGAUCCUGUCAGAAGUUGUUCAGUUCUCAUGACAUAUUAUACUUUGUUAAGUGUUUUGUUUUUCAGAUUACAGAUUAUCAGAUGAUCCGUUCUUCCUCUUUCUCUAAAUUUUUAAGAAUUUUUUAUUUUGGUCGAAUAAUAAAUUUGGUACAACUUCUGAAUGCUUCCAAUUUGAUGAGACGUUUCAAAGAAUGGGAACUGAUCCAACAAUAUGGUAGAUUUUCAACAGACCAAACCAAAAUGAAGACAAGAGAACAUUCAAGGCAAGCCAAGGAAAUGAUAACAGAGAAACACAAAUCUGGGGAAGGGUACAAGACCACCUCAGAGCUCAGUGCAGUCCAUUGUGAAAAAGUGGGGAAAAAGAUGAAACCACAGCCACACGACCUAGGUCAGGACUACCCUCUAAACUUAGUUGCCAGAGAAGACUGGCGCUUGUAAGAGAGGCUGCUGUGUUGUAUACACUCACUCUGAGUGUGCUGCAAAAGUCAGUGGCUGCAACUGGAGAUGAAGUUCAUGGUCCCACAGUCUCGAAAGCCUUGCACAGAAGGGGUAUUUAUGGAAGCGUGGUAAGGAAGAAGUCCUGGCUAAAAGAAAAUGUAUCCUUUCCCCAUACUUAGAAGAUACUGUAAAAUAUGAAAGAAGGUUUUGUGGUUGGAUGAGACUGAAGUGGAACACUAAGUGUACUUGUGUAAAUUUAAUACUGUGCCUCAGCCAGGUAACACCAUCCCUACUGUAAAGUAUGAUAGAGGUAGCAUCAUGCUAUAGGGUUGCUUUUCAGCAGCAGAGACUGGAAAUCUGGUCAGGAUUGAUGGGAAGAUGAAUGCUGCUAAAUACGGAGAGAUCCUGGAUAAAACCCCACUAUCUUCUGCACGAAAGCUUAAACUGGGAAUGAAGUUCAUCUUUCAGCAGAACAAUGACCCAAAACACACUGCCAGAAUAACCAUGGAGUGGCUUCAAAUAAAGAAAAUUGAUGUCUUUUAGGGGCCCAGUCAGAGUCCUGACCUUAAUCUGAUCGAACAUCUCUGGCAAAACCUUAAGAAUACUGUACUGUCCAAUGCCACUCCCCAACCAACCUGGCACAGCUUGAGCAAUCUUACAAAGAGUAACAGGCAAAUACUGCUUCAUCACAUUGUGGAAAGCUAAUAUUGACAUGUCCAAAAAGACUAUAGGCUGGAAUAGUUGCAAGAGGUAGUUCAACUAAGUACUAAGCACGUGGGCAGGGGCUGAAAACUUUUGAACUGCUUACAUUUCAGUUUUUGAAUUUUUAGUUUUUCAUGCUUCAUAAUUUUCUCUGAUUUUGGUCUCUGCUGUGCAAAAAGGAGCAUGUAAUUCACAAAUAAAAAUUCAGAAUUAAGUUGAUCAAAAUCCUUUGUUGUUUACCAGAUGAAGAUGACACCAGUGUACAAUAUGACCAAGGGUGAGAACCUCCAUAUCAGCCAUUCUCAACGGGGGCCACCGACUGAAAACCGUGAGAAGGGGGGUACCAAGUGCUUAUGGGGGCCCUGGUAACUGAACUGAUGAAAUAGCCAAGCAGCAACCUUAUAACCGCACAACGUCAGUUCAGUCAGUUUCAAAAAGAUUUUUGGAUCCAGAGUGAUCUGCCAAAUAAAUUUACAACACUGUGGGGGAAAAAGCCCAAAGAGUUUUUAAUUGCCUGUCCUUCAACAUACUUGAUUGAGAGUGGAUUCUGCAAGGUAGUUUCCUUGACAAAAUCCAGGAACAGAAUUGAUAUCACAACAAGAGGUGACCUCCAACUGUCGUUGUCUGAUUUGGAGCCCGAUAUCAUGAAACUUGCAGAAAAGAACCAGGCUCAAGGAUCGCAUUAGCUGAUGGAAUUUUAAUUUCAGUUUUUUUUUAAAAGUUUUGUACAGUAAGUCAGAAUGUUCAAAUUUUCUUAG
Molecule: long non-coding RNA, 2302 nt
Organism: Hypanus sabinus (Atlantic stingray)
Lineage: Eukaryota; Metazoa; Chordata; Chondrichthyes; Myliobatiformes; Dasyatidae
Exons: 4
Source: RefSeq, a predicted model, not a curated record